GAUGAACGCUAGCGGCAGGCCUAACACAUGCAAGUCGAACGAGACCUUCGGGUCUAGUGGCGCACGGGUGCGUAACGCGUGGGAAUCUGCCCUUUGCUUCGGAAUAACAGUUAGAAAUGACUGCUAAUACCGGAUGAUGUCUUCGGACCAAAGAUUUAUCGGCAAAGGAUGAGCCCGCGUAGGAUUAGGUAGUUGGUGGGGUAAAGGCCUACCAAGCCGACGAUCCUUAGCUGGUCUGAGAGGAUGAUCAGCCACACUGGGACUGAGACACGGCCCAGACUCCUACGGGAGGCAGCAGUGGGGAAUAUUGGACAAUGGGCGAAGACCUGAUCCAGCAAUGCCGCGUGAGUGAUGAAGG
RNAcentral lists this ribosomal RNA (358 nucleotides) under uncultured bacterium. RNAcentral's name for it is "bacterial SSU rRNA". It matches the Rfam family "Bacterial small subunit ribosomal RNA", at positions 28 to 414 of the family's 1533-position model. The record is from RNAcentral.